RNAcentral lists this ribosomal RNA (535 nucleotides) under Exosphaeroma varicolor. RNAcentral's name for it is "partial 16S ribosomal RNA". It matches the Rfam family "Bacterial large subunit ribosomal RNA", at positions 1796 to 2620 of the family's 2925-position model. Lineage: Eukaryota; Metazoa; Arthropoda; Malacostraca; Isopoda; Sphaeromatidae. The record is from RNAcentral.
UCGCCUGUUUAUCAAAAACAUCGCCGAUAACUCUUUAUUAUCGGUAAUAUCUGCCCAGUGAUUUAUUCAACGGCCGCAGUAUCCUGACUGUGCUAAGGUAGCAUAAUCAUUAGUUUUUUAAUUGAAAACUCGUAUGAAUGAUUCGACGAGAAAUUCCCUGUCUCUAAAGUACCCCAACUUGCUUGAAAAGUCAAAAAGCUUUUCCCCCCCAAAAGGACGACAAGACCCUAUAAAACUUUACCUUAAUCACAAGCCUGCUUUUAGAAACUUGCCAAAUUUUGAAAAAGGUUUUACUGGGGCGGUAUCUUUUAAUAUAAACAAAUUGCACACUAACAUAAUGAAUGAAGUUGAUAAACACUUGACGUAAAAAAUAACAAGUUACUUUAGGGAUAACAGCGCAAUAUCUUUUUAGAGCCCUCAUCGGCAAAGAUGUUUACGACCUCGAUGUUGAAUUGAAGAACCUGCACGGAGCAACCCUCGUGCGAGGAAGUCUGUUCGACUUUUGAUCCUUCACAUGAUCUGAGUUCAAACCGGA